This 460-nucleotide ribosomal RNA is filed under the name uncultured bacterium. RNAcentral describes it as "partial 16S ribosomal RNA". It matches the Rfam family "Bacterial small subunit ribosomal RNA", at positions 338 to 795 of the family's 1533-position model. The record is from RNAcentral.
CCUACGGGGGGCAGCAGUGAGGAAUAUUGGUCAAUGGGCGGGAGCCUGAACCAGCCAAGUCGCGUGAGGGAAGACGGUCCUAUGGAUUGUAAACCUCUUUAGGCGGGGAGCAAUGCCGGGCACGCGUGCCCGGAGGGAGAGGACCCGCAGAAUAAGCAUCGGCUAACUCCGUGCCAGCAGCCGCGGUAAUACGGAGGAUGCGAGCGUUAUCCGGAUUGAUUGGGUUUAAAGGGUGCGUAGGCGGAUUUUUAAGUCAGCGGUAAGAGGUCCGGGCUCAACCCGGGCCGGCCGUUGAAACUGGGGAUCUUGAGUGGGCGAGAAGUAUGCGGAAUGCGUGGUGUAGCGGUGAAAUGCAUAGAUAUCACGCAGAACUCCGAUUGCGAAGGCAGCAUACCGGCGCCCGACUGACGCUGAGGCACGAAAGCGUGGGGAUCGAACAGGAUUAGAUACCCGGGUAGUC